This 1685-nucleotide long non-coding RNA is filed under the name Equus caballus (horse). RNAcentral's name for it is "lncRNA (ENSECAG00000059811.1)". Lineage: Eukaryota; Metazoa; Chordata; Mammalia; Perissodactyla; Equidae. The record is from RNAcentral.
GACCACACUUUGAGUAGCAAGGGUGUAGAGCUUCGCACAUUUACGUGGAAGCCUCCAAUAGCUGUGUGAGGAAAUAGAGGCUGAGAGAAUUUAUCUGAUACUGUCAGGCAGCAUUUUUUCUUACUGUGCUUCAGUUGCACUCCUCUUAUAAAUAAUCACCUUCUUAUUUAUCUCUAUUUACUAUUUUUGUAUUGUUGGUUUUCACGUAGUAGCAACUCCUGCCCUUUCCUUUAGGAAUGUUGUAUCUUCUUUGUAACUUCUUUUCAAAGUGGAAAUAUUCAAGUAAACCACAACUCAUGUUAGCACUAGAUUUUACAAUCGUAUGGGUCUGGAAUUUGUUCGGUCCGUCGGAUACGACAGCCCCACUGUAUUCUGUGGAUCUGACCACAAUACAGCUUCAUGUCGACAGACUUGCAGAGCACGGCGUGUUCCAUGAACACAAGGCCAGGGAGCUGAUCUUUUCAUAGGAUCCUCUGCAGAAGGUGAGCCAAGAAAAGCCAAAGAAGAACAAUGAAUAUAGCUCCAGCUUCCCUCUAACAGGGGGAAUGUGGCUCCAAAUGGCUGCUUACAUUGAGGACCUUUGAGCUCAGAAUCAGUAAGACCUUCUUCCAAGAUUGGGCUGAUCCAGGGCACAUGGAUCUACAACAGCGUUUCUCAGCUUCUCCACUUGAUAUUUUGGGCCAUAAUGCUUUCUUGUCAGGGGCUGUCCUGUGAGUUGUAGGACAUUUGCAGCAUUCCUGGCCUCUACUUAUUAGAUGCCAGCAGCACCUCCCCCGACUCCAGUUGUGGCCAUCAAAAAUGUCUCCAGUCAUGCCAAAUCUUCCCUAGGGGGCAAAUUGUUCCCAGGAGUGUUGGAAGAACCACCUAUGGCAAGUUAGAAAAGGUCUAUGAAAUAAUUUCCACAGAAAUUCAUCCAAGAGGGCACUGAGAUGGGUCUCACACCAGGAACUGUGCCUCAUUGGUGGUUAGCCAUGCCAGGCUCCUGUGUAACCUCUUCUACGUAUACUUCUGCAGCACUUGGACAUGGCGCCUAUUUUGUUCACCACUGUAUCUCUAGGGCCCUGAACAAUACUUAGCACGUAGGAGGCCUAGAAUAAACACUGCUGAAGGAGACUGAUAUUCAGAGAUCUUAAGUAAUUCACUCAAGAUUAUUUAGCUCAAGCUAGCAAGUGUCCAAACAAAAAUUACAUUCAAGAUCUAUCUGGCUACAAAUGUAUGCUUUACUUCUCAUAUUCACUCAUGAAUAGUAUAAUUUAUUUAAUGCACCCUCCUUACCGUUGUUAGCAAAGAAAAUUAUGGUGCACAUCAAGCAAUACACAAAAGCUCUGACUAAAAUAUGAUGUGAUAUUCAAUACAUAUAAACAUUGAUGCAACUUUAUGUAGUAUAAUAACACCAACACUAGUGAACUCAUUGUUUAGAUUAAAAGCCAGAACGCUAUUGACAUCAUUGCCUGAUGUGUAUAUUCCCUGAAAAUUCCAUUCUUCUACCCUACCUCCUUUUCACAAGUAACUGAUGUAUUAUACCCUUUCCUUCUAAAGCAAAAUUUCCACAUACGUAGUCCCUAAAUAAACAGCUGUUUGUAAAAUUUAUAGCAUGCAAUUUAGGCAAUUACAUAAUUAUAUAUGUGCAUAUUAUGUAUUAUAUAAUUACCUAAUAACAUGUAAUUUUCUUCAACUUGCUUUUU